RNAcentral lists this long non-coding RNA (666 nucleotides) under Fukomys damarensis (Damara mole-rat). RNAcentral describes it as "lncRNA (ENSFDAG00000030890.1)". Lineage: Eukaryota; Metazoa; Chordata; Mammalia; Rodentia; Bathyergidae. The record is from RNAcentral.
AGAUGAUAAAGCUUAUCUACCCCAAAUAUCUAUUCAAGGGUGGAGGAAAAAAACCAUAGGAUGGAAUCACAGAGUUGCUGACCCUACUGUGAGACACAUGUGGGCCAAAUUUGGAUAAACAAUCGUUGUUACCAGGGGAGCCAGUUCAAGGUUCUCGGUAUCCCAAAUAAUUGAGCAGAAUACUCAGGAGUAACCAGAGGAAGGUUGACUAAAAGUGAAAGUACACUUCCCAGGGUGGGAGCCGGCCAGAGAAAAGAGCUCAGGGCUCCAGUAGGGGCAGGCAACUCCAUCUCUUCAAGUCUGGGAUUAUAGGGGCCGGAGAUGUAGCUCAGUGGCACCGCACCUGCCUGACAAGCGAAAGGGCGAAUCUGAUCACCAAACUCAUUCCGGGCAAGACGCACCCAUCUGUUCAACUGCCAGACACGGCUCCCAGCACUCUCAGCGGGUAAUCUCCAGAUCUCCAUCCGAUCGUCCUACAGACUCCCCCAGGGAUGCUCUUGUUUGCUCAAGUCUGAGUCCCCCAACACCCUCAUUCCCAUCACCACCCUCUUUGAACUCCAGAACGCGUUCCUCAGCCUUUGCUGAGAACCUCUGAAUUUGCUCUUAGCUGCAUUAAAGACAACCGAAUCGACUGGCUCUCCCAAGCAACUCUUUCCUUUAGCAAAG